Molecule: small nuclear RNA, 30 nt
Filed under: Arabidopsis thaliana (thale cress)
Lineage: Eukaryota; Viridiplantae; Streptophyta; Magnoliopsida; Brassicales; Brassicaceae
Description: snRNA_11162
Source: RNAcentral
UGGGUCCCACUGUGAAGUGAGAUCCCUCCA